RNAcentral lists this ribosomal RNA (252 nucleotides) under uncultured bacterium. RNAcentral's name for it is "partial 16S ribosomal RNA". It matches the Rfam family "Bacterial small subunit ribosomal RNA", at positions 524 to 776 of the family's 1533-position model. The record is from RNAcentral.
CACGUAGGGUGCGAGCGUUGUCCGGAAUUAUUGGGCGUAAAGAGCUCGUAGGCGGUGUGUCGCGUCGGCCGUGAAAACCUGCAGCUUAACUGUGGGCGUGCGGUCGAUACGGGCAUCACUGGAGUUCGGCAGGGGAGACUGGAAUUCCUGGUGUAGCAGUGAAAUGCGCAGAUAUCAGGAGGAACACCGGUGGCGAAGGCGGGUCUCUGGGCCGUAACUGACGCAGGAGCGAAAGCAUGGGGAGCGAACAGG